CUUAAAUAAUUUAAUAAAAAUAUUGAUUUGUGGAGUCAAAAAUAUGAAGGAUUAUCAAUCAUUUUAAGUC
This 70-nucleotide transfer RNA is filed under the name Fabriciana nerippe. RNAcentral's name for it is "tRNA-His". The record is from RNAcentral. Lineage: Eukaryota; Metazoa; Arthropoda; Insecta; Lepidoptera; Nymphalidae.